RNAcentral lists this small RNA (1656 nucleotides) under Pan troglodytes (chimpanzee). Its description in RNAcentral is "processed transcript". Lineage: Eukaryota; Metazoa; Chordata; Mammalia; Primates; Hominidae. The record is from RNAcentral.
AUCGUGUCGCCGGCAGGGAGGCAUAGCGCCUCUCUGAUCUUCCUGCAUGGCUCAGGUGAUUCUGGACAAGGAUUAAGAAUGUGGAUCAAGCAGGUUUUAAAUCAAGAUUUAACAUUCCAACACAUAAAAAUUAUUUAUCCAACAGCUCCUCCCAGUAUGUUUUUGCUUUUAGGAGGAUUCUCUAUGGGAGGAUGCAUGGCAAUGCAUUUAGCAUAUAGAAAUCAUCAAGAUGUGGCAGGAGUAUUUGCUCUUUCUAGUUUUCUGAAUAAAGCAUCUGCUGUUUACCAGGCUCUUCAGAAGAGUAAUGGUGUACUUCCUGAAUUAUUUCAGUGUCAUGGUACUGCAGAUGAGUUAGUUCUUCAUUCUUGGGCAGAAGAGACAAACUCAAUGUUAAAAUCUCUAGGAGUGACCACGAAGUUUCAUAGUUUUCCAAAUGUUUACCAUGAGCUAAGCAAAACUGAGUUAGACAUAUUGAAGUUAUGGAUUCUUACAAAGCUGCCAGGAGAAAUGGAAAAACAAAAAUGAAUGAAUCAAGAGUGAUUUGUUAAUGUAAGUGUAAUGUCUUUGUGAAAAGAGAUUUUUACUGCCAAAUUAUAAUGAUAAUUAAAAUAUUAAGAAAUAACACUUUCCUGACUUUUUUAUUAUUAAAAUGCUUAUCACUGUAGACAGUAGCUAAUCUUAUUAAUGAAAAACAAUAGACAAACAUCUGUGCAUAAUUUUUCAGACACAAUUCUGUAAAUAUUUGGAAACCUUUUAAGUAUUUAAACUUUUAAAUUUUUGAAAUAAAGUAUUCUAAACUAAUAUAAAUAAGGACAAUGAAAAAACAUGAAAGGACUUAGCAUAGUGUUAUUUUAUCUUUUCUACAACUUUGUUUAAAUUACCUUUCCAAAGAUAUUUGUGUUUAUGUAAUUUUCCACGGAAUAACAUUAAUACUCUAGGUUUAUAAACCGGUUUCGCAUUAUUUCAUUUGAUCAUCACAAGAGCUUUGUGAAGUAAGCCGAGAAGUUGUUACUGGUAUUUAAUAAUAGCAAUAGAGGAGUUAAAGACUUUCCCACAGCUUGCAGGUCAAGACAAGAAAUUCAGGUCUCCUAAUUCUCAGUGGAGCUCUAUUUCUGUUAACCCAAAUUGCUGCUCUGUUUUAGGUCUCAAUUUCAUCUGUAAAAUGAUAUUAAUAGUACUUAUCCCAUUGGAUUUUUGUUGAGAUUUAAAUAAAUAGCCAAAAGCCAAUACAUAAUAAACACUCAAUAAAGAUUAACCAUAAGGAGAGUCAUGAUCUAGUUCCAGGAAUACAUUGUUAGAUGACUGAAAAAUUGUAUUACUUCAAUGAAAAUACUAUAAAUAAUAACAUUUUCAUAUAUUAGUUGGUUCUCAUGCAUACAUAAUCUAAUUUUAUUUGAUCCUCACAACUUUUUUAUUAAGUAUACAUUAUCCCUAUUUGUAUAAAUAGAAUCAUACAAUACCUGCCUGCUUUCAUUCAACAAAAUUAUCAUGAGAUUUUUCCAUGUUGUGUACAUCAAUAGUUCAUCUAUUUUAUUGCUCAGUAAUAUUCCAUUGUGUGGAUGUAUCACUAUUUGUUUACACAUUCACCACUGAUAUAUAAGUUGCUUCCAGUGUGAGGCUGUUAUAAAUAAAGCUGCUAUGAAUAUUCAUGUAAGA